This is a long non-coding RNA of Thalassophryne amazonica, 857 nucleotides long. RefSeq lists it as uncharacterized. The transcript has 3 exons. Lineage: Eukaryota; Metazoa; Chordata; Actinopteri; Batrachoidiformes; Batrachoididae. The record is from RefSeq and is a predicted model, not a curated record.
CUACACACGACAGUAUGCAUACAUUAAAAGCAAACUUAAGCAGCUGCAAAGAAAUCUACGAACACAACGACACGCGAAAAACGCUGAGUACACGUGCAUUUUGGGCGUACAGACAGUGAUUAGAGUUUUGGUAUUUGAGAGAUUUGAGAAAUAUUUUGUUUUGUUUUUGUUUUGUAAAAAUGAGGCGUCUUAUGAAUGUUGAGCAAGCGCUUCAGUUUUUUUUAAUUGGAACAAAACAGAGCAUUCAGCAUGCCGUCAGAGUCUGAACCAGACAGUGAGGAUUCUGAUGAUGAAGAUGAUCCCUCUGUUGUUUUGGACAAACAACCAGAGCAGGUGGAUCCACUGAUGUGCGCACAGAUCUCCACAGUGAAACUGAUCGCACGCUUCUCUUUGCAUCUUCUCCAGGACUCAGGCGCUACAGAGCUCAGUCUCAGCACUGAGUCCUGGAACACAGAACAGGAUGCAGACACACACUGCUCCAGCAGUGGAUCCAGGCACAUUUUGUUUAGAGCGUUGAGGUCAAUGUUAGCUUCAUUCUCCUUUCUUUCCUCUUUCGUUCCUUUUUGUUCCUUUUGCGUUCUUGAUUCGCAGGCUAUUCAGUGAUGGGAAAAGUGAAAACUCAUUCGUCUACCUUUUCUCGACGAUUUGUGACUUUGUGGCUUUAUUCCCUUCGUUCAGCUGUCGUCGUAUGCCGUGUGACCGGGCCAUAAGCCCAAUCCUGUCAGAUCUCAAAAGCUAAGCAGUGUGGGACCUGGUUUGUAUUUGGAUGGGAGACCUCUUCGGAACACCAGCGGCUGUGGGUGCCUCUCCAGUUAAAACUGGAGUCGCAUCUGUCAAGAAGGACAUAUGAUGUAAAA